This 412-nucleotide ribosomal RNA is filed under the name Tylomelania sp. THN-2016. RNAcentral describes it as "partial 16S ribosomal RNA". It matches the Rfam family "Bacterial large subunit ribosomal RNA", at positions 1970 to 2601 of the family's 2925-position model. Lineage: Eukaryota; Metazoa; Mollusca; Gastropoda; Pachychilidae. The record is from RNAcentral.
UGCCUUAUAAUUGAAGGCUUGUAUGAAUGGUUUGACGGGAGCAUUACUGUCUUUUUCUUACCCUAUAGAACUUGACCUCUGGGUGAAGAGGCCCAGAUACAGUUGAAAGACAAAAAGACCCUGUCGAGCUUGAAAAGGAAUCAGAGUAAUUUUAUUACCUAAAAUUAAUUACUGACUAAUUUUUUUGGUUGGGGCGACCAAGGAACAAAAAAGCUUCCUCUACUUUCUUAGCUAAUAAGCAUGGAUCCAGAAAAAGCUGAUUAAAAGAAAUAGUUACCGCAGGGAUAACAGCAUAAUCUCUCUUGAGAGACCUAAUCGAAAGAGGGGGUUGUGACCUCGAUGUUGGACUAGAAUAUCUUAAAGAUGCAGAAGUCUUUGAAAGUUGGUCUGUUCGACCAUUAAAAUUCUACGU